RNAcentral lists this transfer RNA (73 nucleotides) under Spirochaetes bacterium RIFOXYC1_FULL_54_7. RNAcentral describes it as "tRNA-Met". It matches the Rfam family "tRNA". Rfam says of the family: Transfer RNA (tRNA) molecules are approximately 80 nucleotides in length. Their secondary structure includes four short double-helical elements and three loops (D, anti-codon, and T loops). Further hydrogen bonds mediate the characteristic L-shaped molecular structure. tRNAs have two regions of fundamental functional importance: the anti-codon, which is responsible for specific mRNA codon recognition, and the 3' end, to which the tRNAs corresponding amino acid is attached (by aminoacyl-tRNA synthetases). tRNAs cope with the degeneracy of the genetic code in two manners: having more than one tRNA (with a specific anti-codon) for a particular amino acid; and 'wobble' base-pairing, i.e. permitting non-standard base-pairing at the 3rd anti-codon position. The record is from RNAcentral. Lineage: Bacteria; Pseudomonadati; Spirochaetota. RNAcentral also lists the same sequence under 2 other names.
GGCGGCGUAGCUCAGUCGGUAGAGCAAACGGCUCAUAUCCGUUGUGUCGUGGGUUCAAUCCCCUCCGCCGCUA